GAAUGUGAGGGCAAUCUGGCUGCAACAUCUGUCACCCCGUUGAUCGCCAGGGUGGAUUUGUCUGAUCUGGCUGGCUAGGCGGGUGUCCCCUUCCUCCCUCACGGCUCCCUGUGCGUCCCUCCUGAAGCUGUGCGCUCGGCCGAGGAGGACGACCUUCCCGGCUAGAGGAGGACCAUUCUGCGGUCAAGGGUAUACGAGUAGCUGUGCUCCCCUGCUGGAGCCUCGAAACAAGCUCUCAAAAAUAAUGAAAUACUUUUUUUCCGGCCAUUAUAAUUUAUUCACAUGUCAUGAAUAACAAAUG
Molecule: small nuclear RNA, 301 nt
Filed under: Dasypus novemcinctus (nine-banded armadillo)
Lineage: Eukaryota; Metazoa; Chordata; Mammalia; Cingulata; Dasypodidae
Description: 7SK RNA (ENSDNOG00000029316.1)
Rfam family: 7SK RNA
About the family: 7SK was discovered as an abundant small nuclear RNA in the mid-70s but a possible function has only recently been suggested.
Source: RNAcentral